RNAcentral lists this ribosomal RNA (468 nucleotides) under uncultured bacterium. RNAcentral describes it as "partial 16S ribosomal RNA". It matches the Rfam family "Bacterial small subunit ribosomal RNA", at positions 28 to 507 of the family's 1533-position model. The record is from RNAcentral.
GACGAACGCUGGCGGCGUGCUUAACACAUGCAAGUCGAACGGAAAGGCCCUGUUCUUGCUGGGUGCUCGAGUGGCGAACGGGUGUGUAAUACGUGAGUAACCUGCCCAUGACUUUGGGAUAACUUCAGGAAACUGCUGCUAAUACCGGAUAGGUGCUCCUGCUGCCUGGUGGUGGUUGGAAAGUUAAGGCUGUAGGGGAUGGACUCGCGGCUUAUUAGUUUGUUGGUGGGGUAGUGGCUUACCAAUGCUUUGACGGGUAGCCGGCGUGGGAGGGGGGCCGGGCACAAUGGUGCUAAGGUACGGCGCAGUGGACAACUGGGGGCAGUCGAGGAGAGUAUUAUCCAGUGGGCUGGAGUCUGAUGCGGAAGCGCCACGUACGGGAUGACGGCCUGCGAGUUGUGAACCGUUUUCGCCUGUUACGAAGUGUGACUGACGGUAAUGGGUGAAUAAGCACCGGCUAACUACGUG